Molecule: ribosomal RNA, 517 nt
Filed under: uncultured bacterium
Lineage: Bacteria
Description: bacterial SSU rRNA
Rfam family: Bacterial small subunit ribosomal RNA
Source: RNAcentral
CGGUUGUGGUGAAUAUCCACGACUACUGACGGUACCGGAAGAUAAGCACCGGCUAACUACGUGCCAGCAGCCGCGGUAAUACGUAGGGUGCGAGCGUUAAUCGGAAUUACUGGGCGUAAAGCGUGCGCAGGCGGUUUUGUAAGCCAGUCGUGAAAUCCCCGGGCUUAACCUGGGAAUGGCGAUUGGGACUGCAAGGCUUGAGUAUGGCGAGAGGAGACUGGAAUUCCUGGUGUAGCAGUGAAAUGCGUAGAUAUCAGGAGGAAUACCGAUGGCGAAGGCAGGUCUCUGGGCUGAUACUGACGCUCAUGCACGAAAGCGUGGGGAGCAAACAGGAUUAGAUACCCUGGUAGUCCACGCCCUAAACGAUGUCGACUGGUUGUUGGGGGUUUGACACCUUCAGUAACGAAGCUAACGCGUGAAGUCGACCGCCUGGGGAGUACGGCCGCAAGGUUAAAACUCAAAGGAAUUGACGGGGACCCGCACAAGCGGUGGAUUAUGUGGAUUAAUUCGAUGCAAC